GUGAAUCAUCGAAUUUUUGAACGCAAAUUGCACUCUCUGGUAUUCCGGAGAGUAUGCCUGUUUGAGGGUCAGUUAAAUUAAAAUUGGUGUUGUUACUGCCUUUUCUGGGGAAGGGACGGGAUUGGGUCGUUCUUGCUUCGGUUUAGUGACUUAAAAUUUUUGCAUGAUUUUUGUCCGUAUUUAUAUCGUUUACGUACGUUCGAGAUCGAGAAUGAU
RNAcentral lists this unclassified non-coding RNA (216 nucleotides) under Glomeraceae sp. Its description in RNAcentral is "partial contains 5.8S ribosomal RNA and internal transcribed spacer 2". The stretch from base 1 to 71 matches the Rfam family "5.8S ribosomal RNA", at positions 84 to 154 of the family's 154-position model. The record is from RNAcentral. Lineage: Eukaryota; Fungi; Glomeromycota; Glomeromycetes; Glomerales; Glomeraceae.